CCUACGGGUGGCAGCAGUGGGGAAUAUUGGACAAUGGGCGAAAGCCUGAUCCAGCCAUGCCGCGUGUGUGAAGAAGGCCUUCGGGUUGUAAAGCACUUUCAGUGGGGAAGAAAGCCUUGGGGCUAAUACCCUCGAGGAAGGACAUCACCCACAGAAGAAGCACCGGCUAACUCCGUGCCAGCAGCCGCGGUAAUACGGAGGGUGCGAGCGUUAAUCGGAAUUACUGGGCGUAAAGCGCGCGUAGGCGGUCUGAUAAGCCGGUUGUGAAAGCCCCGGGCUCAACCUGGGAACGGCAUCCGGAACUGUCAGGCUAGAGUGCAGGAGAGGAAGGUAGAAUUCCCGGUGUAGCGGUGAAAUGCGUAGAGAUCGGGAGGAAUACCAGUGGCGAAGGCGGCCUGCUGGACUGACACUGACGCUGAGGUGCGAAAGCGUGGGUAGCAAACAGGAUUAGAUACCCCAGUAGUC
RNAcentral lists this ribosomal RNA (465 nucleotides) under Vreelandella stevensii. RNAcentral describes it as "partial 16S ribosomal RNA". It matches the Rfam family "Bacterial small subunit ribosomal RNA", at positions 338 to 795 of the family's 1533-position model. Lineage: Bacteria; Pseudomonadati; Pseudomonadota; Gammaproteobacteria; Oceanospirillales; Halomonadaceae. The record is from RNAcentral.